UGGGGAAUUUUGGACAAUGGGGGAAACCCUGAUCCAGCCAUCCCGCGUGUGCGAUGAAGGCCUUCGGGUUGUAAAGCACUUUUGGCAGGAAAGAAACGUCAUGGGUUAAUACCCCGUGAAACUGACGGUAUCUGCAGAAUAAGAACCGGCUAUAUACGUGCCAGCAGCCGCGGUAAUACGUAGGGUGCAAGCGUUAAUCGGAAUUACUGGGCGUAAAGCGUGCGCAGGCGGUUCGGAAAGAAAGAUGUGAAAUACCAGAGCUCAACUUUGGAACUGCAUUUUUAACUACCGGGCUAGAGUGUGUCAGAGGGAGGUGAAAUUCCGCGUUUAGCAGUGAAAUGCGUAGAUAUGCGGAGGAACACCGAUGGCGAAGGCAGCCUCCUGGGAUAACACUGACGCUCAUGCACGAAAGCGUGGGGAGCAAACAGG
RNAcentral lists this ribosomal RNA (429 nucleotides) under Acidobacteriota bacterium. Its description in RNAcentral is "Acidobacteria bacterium partial 16S ribosomal RNA". It matches the Rfam family "Bacterial small subunit ribosomal RNA", at positions 355 to 776 of the family's 1533-position model. The record is from RNAcentral. Lineage: Bacteria; Pseudomonadati; Acidobacteriota.